UACGUAGGGUGCAAGCGUUGUCCGGAAUUAUUGGGCGUAAAGAGCUCGUAGGCGGUCUGUCACGUCGGAUGUGAAAACUCGGGGCUCAACCCCGAGCCUGCAUACGAUACGGGCAGACUUGAGUUCGGCAGGGGAGACUGGAAUUCCUGGUGUAGCGGUGAAAUGCGCAGAUAUCAGGAGGAACACCGGUGGCGAAGGCGGUUCUCUGGGCAUGUCCUGACGCUGAGGAGCGAAAGCGUGGGGAGCGAACAGG
This 253-nucleotide ribosomal RNA is filed under the name uncultured bacterium. RNAcentral describes it as "partial 16S ribosomal RNA". It matches the Rfam family "Bacterial small subunit ribosomal RNA", at positions 524 to 776 of the family's 1533-position model. The record is from RNAcentral.